Solanum tuberosum (potato) is the source of this 1290-nucleotide long non-coding RNA. RefSeq lists it as uncharacterized. The record is from RefSeq and is a predicted model, not a curated record. Lineage: Eukaryota; Viridiplantae; Streptophyta; Magnoliopsida; Solanales; Solanaceae. The transcript has 6 exons.
GUUUAUUUCCUUGUAAAAUCCCUCUACCGCGGAAUUCACCCACACAGAUUAGGGAAAACCUCUCUUCCUCAUCGUCCAUGGCGCAAACUCAUCUCUCUCUCGUCCUUACCAGACGGAGAAUGUAUUUCUGAAACAGUUAGGUGUUUUUUUGAGGAAAUUAUCUAAGAGACAAUUUAUAAGGCCACAGGGUCAUUUGAUGAGGCCAAGAAGCUCAAACAUGGUAGACUUGAUACAGUUUAUAAGGGUGUUUUGGCAGAUGGGAGAGAGAUCAUCAUCAAAAGGUUGUUCUUCAGUAACAAACAUAGAGCUACAGAUUUUAAUAACGAGGUAAACAGUUUGUAGGUGGAGCACAAAAAUUUGAUAAGAUUAUUGACUUAUUAGGAUGCAGUUGCUCAAGACCGAAAAGUCUUUUUGUGAACUCAUCAUUCCCUUUAAGGUAUUUCUAAUCUUGUAAACUUGCUCGUCGACUGUUUUACUAUGUCAAGUUCACUUAGCAUGCAUUGUGUUAUUUUUUUCUAGCUCCUGCCGACUUAUUUCAUGAGCAGAAUGAGCUUCAUGUUUUGUCCUCUUCAUUUACUUGACAACUCCUUUUAGUAAGUUGUAAAUCGUGAUUUCUAUUCAUAGCUCAUUUGCAUAAGCUCUCUAAUUAACCUGAUUGUGUUGUGUUUAUUUAACUUAUAACUCAAAGAUUUUAAGUCCCCAAAAGUUAAAAAAAAUUGACAGUGAAUUUGUAGAACAGGCAUUUCAUUCAACUACUAACAUUGAAUUUUUCAAUAAUACAGAUAGUAUUGUAAGCGGAACUAUAUUCCUCUUGCAUAGAGUAUUUGAUUAUUAUGAGUGACAACCUUGAUGCUCUAUUCUCAAGUAGUCAUAUGGAGUUUCUUUGAAAUUUAUCUGGAAUCUUUUCAAAUUGAUCGAUGAAGUUGGAUUUCUCAUGGCAACGAAUUGGGAGCUAUUCAUCCAAUGGAUAAUCAACACAUUUCAGGGAAGAUCAAAAAUCAAUGAAGUUGGAUUUUCAAACUGUUCUUAUUGAAUUUUUGAGAGAGAUCAAAUUAUUCUUGAAAAGCAACCCAAAAGGUGGAGAUACUUGGUCAAAGAAGUGGUAUAUAUCUACAACGUGAGAGCCUGUUCAGGUGUUAGAGGAUUAGUGCAAAAAUGCAUCUUUUAAUUUGUUUCCUUAGUAAUCUGUUAGUUAUGUUUUCUUUGAGUUUCUAGUCACAAGCUAGCCAACUCUACUGGACUAUAGUUUUGUAAUAUUCUCUUGGAUGAUUAAUAAAAAAAUUGGUUACC